GAUGAACGCUAGCGGCAGGCCUAAUACAUGCAAGUCGGACGGGAUUGAGAAGCUUGCUUUUCAUGAGAGUGGCGCACGGGUGCGUAACACGUAUGUAACCUACCUUAAUCAGGGGGAUAGCCUCUCGAAAGAGAGAUUAACACCGCAUAAAAUCAAUUUAUGGCAUCAUAGAAUGAUCAAAUAUUUAUAGGAUUAAGAUGGGCAUGCGGAACAUUAGCUAGUUGGUAAGGUAACGGCUUACCAAGGCUACGAUGUUUAGGGGAUCUGAGAGGAUGACCCCCCACACUGGUACUGGGACACGGACCAGACGCCUACGGGAGGCAGCAGUAAGGAAUAUUGGUCAAUGGGCGCAAGCCUGAACCAGCCAUGCCGCGUGCAGGAAGACGGCCCUACGGGUUGUAAACUGCUUUUGUACCGGAAUAAACCUUUGUAUGUAUACGAAGCUGAAUGUACGGUAAGAAUAAGGAUCGGCUAACUCCGUGCCAGCCGCCGCCGUAA
This 498-nucleotide ribosomal RNA is filed under the name uncultured bacterium. RNAcentral describes it as "partial 16S ribosomal RNA". It matches the Rfam family "Bacterial small subunit ribosomal RNA", at positions 28 to 523 of the family's 1533-position model. The record is from RNAcentral.